UGGAAAAACAGGGAUAGGA
This 19-nucleotide non-coding RNA is filed under the name Rattus norvegicus (Norway rat). The record is from RNAcentral. Lineage: Eukaryota; Metazoa; Chordata; Mammalia; Rodentia; Muridae.